Molecule: ribosomal RNA, 443 nt
Filed under: uncultured prokaryote
Description: bacterial SSU rRNA
Rfam family: Bacterial small subunit ribosomal RNA
Source: RNAcentral
UAAGGAAUAUUGGACAAUGGGGGCAACCCUGAUCCAGCCAUGCCGCGUGGUGGAAGACGGCCCUCCGGGUUGUAAACACCUUUUAUAUGGGGAUAAUGGUUUUCUAUAGGGAGACUUGCAGGUACCAUAUGAAUAAGCACCGGCUAACUACGUGCCAGCAGCCGCGGUAAUACGUAGGGUGCAAGCGUUGUCCGGAUUUAUUGGGUUUAAAGGGUGCGCAGGCGGUUCUUUAAGUUCGUGGUGAAAGCGUCCAGCUCAACUGGAUACCCGCCAUGGAUACUGGGGAACUAGAGUGUGUUCGAGGGAGUUAGAAUGCGUGGUGUAGCGGUGAAAUGCAUAGAUAUCACGCAGAAUACCGAUUGCGAAGGCAGACUUCUGGGACAUUACUGACGCUGAGGCACGAAAGCGUGGGGAGCGAACAGGAUUAGAUACCCCCGUAGUCC